This 69-nucleotide transfer RNA is filed under the name Brotogeris cyanoptera. RNAcentral describes it as "tRNA-Gly". The record is from RNAcentral. Lineage: Eukaryota; Metazoa; Chordata; Aves; Psittaciformes; Psittacidae.
GCUCCCCUAGUAUAUCCAUUACAAUUGACUUCCAAUCUCUUAAAUCUGGUAUAACCCCAGACAGGAGCA